This 585-nucleotide ribosomal RNA is filed under the name uncultured bacterium. Its description in RNAcentral is "bacterial SSU rRNA". It matches the Rfam family "Bacterial small subunit ribosomal RNA", at positions 338 to 916 of the family's 1533-position model. The record is from RNAcentral.
CCUACGGGAGGCAGCAGUGGGGAAUUUUGGACAAUGGGCGCAAGCCUGAUCCAGCAAUGCCGCGUGCAGGAUGAAGGCCUUCGGGUUGUAAACUGCUUUUGUACGGAACGAAACGGUGAGCUCUAAUACAGUUUGCUAAUGACGGUACCGUAAGAAUAAGCACCGGCUAACUACGUGCCAGCAGCCGCGGUAAUACGUAGGGUGCGAGCGUUAAUCGGAAUUACUGGGCGUAAAGCGUGCGCAGGCGGUGAUGUAAGACAGAUGUGAAAUCCCCGGGCUCAACCUGGGACCUGCAUUUGUGACUGCAUCGCUAGAGUACGGUAGAGGGGGAUGGAAUUCCGCGUGUAGCAGUGAAAUGCGUAGAUAUGCGGAGGAACACCGAUGGCGAAGGCAAUCCCCUGGACCUGUACUGACGCUCAUGCACGAAAGCGUGGGGAGCAAACAGGAUUAGAUACCCUGGUAGUCCACGCCCUAAACGAUGUCAACUGGUUGUUGGGUCUUCACUGACUCAGUAACGAAGCUAACGCGUGAAGUUGACCGCCUGGGGAGUACGGCCGCAAGGUUGAAACUCAAAUGAAUUGACGG